AGUGAACGCUGGCGGCGUGCUUAACACAUGCAAGUCGAACGAGAACGGUCUAGCUUGCUAGAUGUCAGCUAAGUGGCGAACGGGUGAGUAAUACAUUGGAAUAUGCCCUAUAGUCUGGGAUAACAGUUGGAAACGACUGCUAAUACCGGAUACACCCUACGGGGGAAAGAUUUAUUGCUAUAGGAUUAGCCAAUGGCCUAUCAGCUAGUUGGUGAGGUAAUGGCUCACCAAGGCUAUGACGGGUAAGUGGUUUGAGAGGAUGAUCACUCACACUGGAACUGAGACACGGUCCAG
Molecule: ribosomal RNA, 294 nt
Filed under: uncultured bacterium
Lineage: Bacteria
Description: partial 16S ribosomal RNA
Rfam family: Bacterial small subunit ribosomal RNA
Source: RNAcentral